GAAAGUUUGUGUGUCCGAUGGCUUGACAUAUGGGGUUUGAGGUAUCAAUGUUACAGCGGAAUUAUUGUAAGAUUCUCCUGGAAGUCCACCACGUGCAAAAUUCGAUGAUGUCAGGAUAAAUGAUGUGUUUGAUGAUGAAGAGACGAUGUCGAUGCAUUCGGAACGGAGGAUUGCAGAGACGACUGGCUCGAUCGUGAAGUCGCUGAAUGCAUGAUCCAAUCGAGCCAAGGAUUAAUAUCUUGGCUGAGAUUCUGUUAAAAACGAUUGUACCUUUUGCUUCUCAUCUAUGAUAAAAAUCUAAAUUGUCAAUUGACACUUAUACCUAACCUCUUUAGUGCGAACAUGAUAUUUUCAAUUUCUUUCAAAAACAAAAUUUGACAUAUAUUGUCAUUAAUUCGAAACUCACGAGAACUCACCUGACGAACAAUGAUCUCUCGAAACUAGGUAAAGGUUUUCCUCGUACCUUUGCGAGAGUAUUCCAAUAAUAUUCCGAAAUAUUUUCAGGCAUAACAUCGUACACUUGCGAUUACUAAGCCAAACCAAGUUCAUGUGAAACUCGGUUUAAACAAAUGGCAAUGUGAUUGAAUAAAAAGAAAAAAAAAAGAAAAAAAAGAAAUACAUAAAAGACGAGACGAAUUGAUGAUCAAAAGUAACGGGUCAACCAAAUUGACAGGUUGCUGUUAUAGUGAUCGAAGAACGUAUAAAUUCUUUUGCAUGUUCGUUCGACAGUUUUCUUGAAAUAUAUAAAUUAUAAUUAUCACAUGAAAUAUAUAUAUUAAUAUCAUAAAGUAGAGAUUUCGUCUAAUAAUAUUAAAAAGGACAAAAAAAAAUAUUGGAAAAGAAAAACGUUUCGAUGAUGACAAUAGUAAUUAAUAAUUAAACAGCUCGAAUAUAUAUAUAUUAAACGCGUUAUUGAACUCGAAGACCGACUUGAAAACGUAAAGAAAAAAAAACGGAUGGCAGACGGCCAUCGGUUCAUAAACAAAUUUUUUUUUCUCGUUGGUAACAAAGAAACGAAGAAAGAAAAAAAAAUUUGACUGCCUUUAGAUGGGCGAGUCACAUGUCUUUAUGGGGAAAUAUCCUAAUAUCUCUCUAUCUCUGCUUGUAGAUUUUUAUUAAAAUUAACAAGAUGCGAUAAAAUACAUGUGAACGUCGACGAUAAUUUUUUUUCUACAAAAAAAAAGGGGUGAAAUAAAUGUAAUUAAUAAGAACGAUCGAUCGAUUAAUUGGGUCGAAUCGAAUCGAAUAAAAUCAAAUCGAUUCGAUCGGUCGAAUGUAAAAAUUCUUAACAAGAGAUAAUGAUAUUAAUUAAAGUGCUAAUCAAAUUAACGUGCGCAAAUCGUUCAUCGCAAUUGUUUAAUCGUGGAUUUGAGAUGGAUUGGAAUACGUUUAACGUUCCUUAUAUAUAAUAUCUCCCAUUAUGUAUAUAUAUUAUUAUUAUUAUAUAUUAAAUUUCUAUCUUACUUUCGUAAUUAAAAACGUAUCGAUACUAACAUCGGACAUAUAGAUUUCAAAAGUCCGAACUUGAUAAGAUGAUACGCUUUCCCUUUCAUUCUCUAUCACUCUCACUCUCUUUCUUUAUUAUUAAAGCUCUCUACGCAAUAAAAUUUCUUGAAUGAACACAGUUUAUGUAAGUUAUGUAUGUAUAUAUAUAUGUGUGUGUGUGUGUGUGUGUGUGUGUGUGUCUAU
Molecule: long non-coding RNA, 1689 nt
Organism: Vespa crabro (European hornet)
Lineage: Eukaryota; Metazoa; Arthropoda; Insecta; Hymenoptera; Vespidae
Exons: 2
Source: RefSeq, a predicted model, not a curated record